AUUGAACGCUGGCGGCAUGCCUUACACAUGCAAGUCGAACGGCAGCACGGGAGCUUGCUCCUGGUGGCGAGUGGCGAACGGGUGAGUAAUAUAUCGGAACGUGCCCUGGAGUGGGGGAUAACUAGUCGAAAGAUUAGCUAAUACCGCAUACGAUCUAAGGAUGAAAGUGGGGGAUCGCAAGACCUCAUGCUCGUGGAGCGGCCGAUAUCUGAUUAGCUAGUUGGUGAGGUAAAGGCUCACCAAGGCAUCGAUCAGUAGCUGGUCUGAGAGGACGACCAGCAACACUGGGACUGAGACACGGCCCAGACUCCUACGGGAGGCAGCAGUGGGGAAUUUUGGACAAUGGGCGCAAGCCUGAUCCAGCAAUGCCGCGUGAGUGAAGAAGGCCUUCGGGUUGUAAAGCUCUUUUGUCAGGGAAGAAACGGUGAGGGUUAAUACCUCUUGCUAAUGACGGUACCUGUAGAAUAAGCACCGGCUAACUACGUGCCAGCCGCCGCCGUAA
RNAcentral lists this ribosomal RNA (502 nucleotides) under uncultured bacterium. RNAcentral describes it as "partial 16S ribosomal RNA". It matches the Rfam family "Bacterial small subunit ribosomal RNA", at positions 30 to 523 of the family's 1533-position model. The record is from RNAcentral.